UCAUACUUUAAAUAUUCAACAUUCUAAAAUAAGGUUGGAAGUUUGAUAAUUCAAAAAUUAGAUGAAAAUUAUUUUUUAAAUAUUAAUAAUAUUAUCAUAAAAUUAAACCCCACUCCAAACCCUAACUCUUUUACUCUCUCUCUCUCUCUACACUACCCACGCUUUCUAUUGACGCCGUCAAUCUCUCUCUACUGCCCACCCUCUUUAUACCGACGAUGUCACAUGACCAGCAGCACUCAUCUUCCACAGGCGCCUUGCAACAGUAGAUGCACGUGUUACAGAUCUGUAAGAUCGUCGACUGGCUGGGGCUAUGGGAUUGUUGAUGAGAAUGAAGGUGCCGUAACAAAUCUGUGAAGGAGUGGCUGUCGGUGAGGUGAACUGGUGAACAAUAUGAUGGUAGAAAUGGGUGAUCGACGACGAUUUGCUUUAAGGGUGUGAGUUGGUGGUCCGAUGAGAUUUGGGUAAGCAGGGACAAGCGAGUUUCUAAUUUGUUAGGUGUGGAUAGAUACUAUUUUGGAGGAGGCUCUUAGUGAUUUAUUUGUUGAUUUGGAGAGAUGAUGAUGAAAAUAUGGUGGUCCACGAUGUUGUAAUGAGUUGAUCUAGCCGGCAAAGGACAGGACACACGGGCAGUGGUUUUGUGGGUUUUUUUGGUGGUUCGGAAAUUAAGGUGCAGUGGCGCGACGACUGCAGUGGCGAUGGUAGUGUUAGCGAUGGCGGUGACGGCGGUGGUAGUGUGGUGCUGGUGGUUGCAAUUGCAGGGAUUGUGUGGUAUGAAAGUGUUUAUGAUCAACUAUUUAGGGCGGGUGGUGAGGUGAUGGUUGUGAUAUUGGCUGUGGUGGUGAAGUCGGGGCAGUGGUUGUGGGUGGUUGGAUGAUUUUUUAUUUUUUGGGUGAAGGUUUUGUUGGUGUUUGGACGACAAUUAUGGUUUUGCGAGGUCUGGUGGUGGUAACGGUGAUAGUGAUGGUGGUUGUCGUGGUGAUUAUAGCAAUGGUUGUGGGUGGGAUGAGAUGGAGUUGGAUUAAUUAUUUGGUUGAUUGUGAAUGUGACUUAAAAAUUGUGAUUGUGACACACAAGUGAUUAAGUUAUGAUCGAAAAAUUAAUUGUGACAAUAAUCUAAUAAUUUGAAAUGAAUAAAUGAGUUAUGAUCAAUAAUAAUUUUGAUUUUGUCAUCGAUGAAUAAUUUGUGAAUUAUAAAAUUUUUUAUUUGUUAUUGAAAAAUAAUUUAUGACGUAUAAAAUUUUUGAUGUGUGAUCAAAAAAUAAGUUGUGAUC
This 1271-nucleotide long non-coding RNA is filed under the name Olea europaea subsp. europaea. The record is from RNAcentral. Lineage: Eukaryota; Viridiplantae; Streptophyta; Magnoliopsida; Lamiales; Oleaceae.